AGAGGUGAAAGCAAAAUGAAAGUCCUGGUGACAUCAGCCUUGGCAGUCCCUAAUGGAAAGUGGCCCUGCCAGGCCCUGCUCUCUUGUUCAAUCCGGGAACGCUUUCCAUUAAUGCUAUUAAACCGGCACAGCGGUCAGAGGCAGAGCUGGCCUGGCCGCCUGUGCUCAGUUCCAACUGCUGAAUCAUCUCCAUCUCGUUUGCCCUUCCUAGUACCUUGAAGACGUAGAAGAAGCAGAGGAGGGGGGAGAAGCACGGAGGACUAUCAACUUCAGCACAUCCUUAAUAGGAAGCAGUUUGGCCGGUCCCUUCCCUGCCUGGGAACUCUUUCCAUUAAAAACAUUUCUCUACCACAGCUGUAUUUUAGACUUAUCAUUGUAGCCUCUGCCCAAAGGAAAAUUCUCUCCACCCGCAACCACGUACAGAGGGCGAUUUCCUUCUAAGGGUGGAAAGACACUCUUUUCAGCAUACGGCAGGAUGGCUUGACCUCAGCCAAGAAACCCAGUAACAUCCUGACCUUCUGAAACAGACGGGAGGGUCAGAGGAGGCUUUUGUUGCUGCUCGCAGGACUCAGCUCCACCCAAAGGUACACAAAAACCCCAGAACUGAAGACGGAUGAAGACACCAAGGAGGCAAUGAAAGUCAGACAUAACCAAAAGGAGCAAAGGAAAUCUCCGAGCUGGAAAAUUAGAGCCAAAGAAAUUCUAUUAUUAGGACAAGCUCAGCGACCUCUGUUCUCAAGCCUGUUUGGGGCGGGGGGCGGUUUGCAAAGAGGGCUACACUGCCCUCUAUUGGGGGCCUAUCAGCACGCAGCUAAAGGGCUUCUCAUUCAAGGUCUUGAUUGAUGAGCCCCCCACCCCACAACUUAGGAGCUAUAAUUAGCUGAACAAAAGCAAAACAAAACAGAAACUGAGACCACAGACAUCAGGUAACUUGCCCAAGGUCAUGCACCUGAGUCGCGGCACAGGCGAGGAUGCUAAAGCAGGGACAAAUGACUUCAAGAAUCAUUUUCCUGCCAUUUAUCUUUAUAGAUAAUCUUUCCAUCUUGGACUCAGAUAACCUUCAAACUUGAGAAUCUGCCAGUGCUCUCUCUGGUCUGGUGGUUCUCGAAGGUCACUGUGUAUUAGAAUCACCCGGAGACGCGCAUUAACUUGCCAAGAACUCAAGCCCCAUGGCCAGAAAUUCUGAUUAUAAUUGACUUGGGGUAGAUCCUGGCUUGAGCAGAUUUUGUGAGUUCUCCAGGUGAUUCUCAGGUGUAGCCAGCACUGAGAAUUUCUGCUCUAGCUGCAGAAGAGAUGGAGAAAAAAACGGGGGUUCUUUCAAAUCCAGGACAUAAUACUUAAGAGAAAGAAAGUUUAGGGAGUUCCCUUCAUGGCUCAAUGGUUAGCAAAUCCGACUAGGAUCCAUGAGGAUGCGGGUUGGAUCCCUGGCCUGGGUUCGGGAUCCUGCGUUGCCAUAAGCUGUGGUGUAGGUCACAGACACGGCUCUGGUCCCUCGUGUCUACAGCAUAGGCCAGCGGCUGUAGCUCCAAUUCAACCCCUGGUCUGGGAACUUCUAUAUGCCGCAGGUGCAGCCCUGAAAAAACAAAAAAAAACAAAAAAAGAAAGCAAGAAAGGAAAUCACGUUUUAAGGAAGUGAGCUCCCUAGAGGAAUGUGACAGUUAUGCUGUGUGACAUUGUGAACAACAGUGUCCAAAGAAUGCCACAUCCUAAUCCCUGGAAACCAUAAAUGUGGUACCUCUCAUGGAAAAGGGGACUUUACCACUGUGAUUACGCUAAAGAUCUUGCAGGAGAAAGAUUAUCCUGAAUUAUCUGGGUGGCCUCGAUAUAACCACGAGGGUCCCAUAAGAAAGGCAGGGGAGUCAGGGUAAGAGGAGGAGAUGUGAUGCCAGGAGCUGAGGUUGGAGGGUGUGAGGAAGGGAUCCAUGGAUGUGGAUCCUACAUCCAAGGAUGUGGCAGCUCUUAGCAAUACCUUGACUUUAGCCCAGCAAGACUGGUUUUGGACUUGUGUCCUCCAGAUCUGUAAGAAUAAACAAAUUUGUAUGGUUUUAAGCCCGUAGGUUAUGGUCGUAUAUUCCCAUAACUACAGGAACUAAUACAGAUAUUGUGUACCUUAUUUCACUUCUCAGAGACUCUUUGCCCACAUCUAAAAUAGUGUCGUCUUACUUCAGUAGAGCAGUUUUGAGGAUUAAAUGCUUUAAUUAGAAACAAAAUGCUUAAAACGGCAGCUUGAUAAACAGGGCUUACUAUGGAUAGAGGUCUCGUGGGGCAGGAAGUGAUGUGAAAAAAGAGAGACUUCCAGCUGUGCCCAGAUACAUUUCUAUGGGACAAGGGAUUGAGGCAAAUAGAACAAAAUUAGCGGAGACUGGUACGAAAGAGCAGCUGCAGCAGGAUUUCUCAGCCUGCCGGCCUUUGGGAAGAUUUUGCACCUGUCUCUUCUGAACAUCCCGUCAUAUUCUUAGUACUGUUGCAUCUGCCCUUCACUCCGCAGAACUCCUCUCCUUCACUGUGCACAUUCCUGCAGUGAGAGAAGAGGACCAGGAAUCAUCAAGACACUGGAAAUGCUCUAAAAUACAUGUUCCCUAGCAUUUCACUCAUGGUCCAAAUAUAGGCAGCAGAUCAAUUUCUGAGCUUGUUCUCAAUUUCAGGUUCUUAAACCCUUUCGAGAAUAAUGAUGUUUUCUACCUGUUUCCAUUUGGUGGAAUUAUGAUUAGUAAUGCAUGUGCUACCACUGGCUAUACUGGCGAUCUUGGACCAAUGACUCUCUUUUUCAGCUUCCUCAUCUGUAAAAUGAGGCCAAGGAUAACACCCACCUGUAGGGUAGCUGUAAGCAUUAAAUGCUUUCUACAGGCAGAGGGCAUUGUGAAGUGCCUGGCGCACUUUCAAGAGCUCAGCAAGUUAGCUGUUAACAUUCCUAACGAGGUCAUUUUUAUUUGGGACAAAUAAUUGAGGAUAGGUGAAAGGAAGCGCUCACUUGGACAACCUGGGAUGAAAGAGAGUAAUUUUCAAUAUCCUUUGAUUGUCUUCUCAGUUUCUCUUAAGGAACUACAAGAGAAAAUAGCCCCAAAUAGGAGUCAUAUAGUCAUUUAUUGAGUGCCUAUUGUAUACUAGGAACUCUUCUAGGACCUGAGAACUUAAAAGAUAAAUACAAUCCAUUUCCUGUCCUCAAGGAAUGUCCAAGCUAAUGGUGGAAAGAGGCGUGGUGAAUUUCCAUUGUAAGACAGCAAGAUACAGGUUAGCAUUGGGGUAGGUUUGGUGUAAUGAAUAUGUGCAUAGGAGAGACUUAAAUCUUGAUCUGGGGCAGGGCCAUCGGGAGAGCUUCCUGGAAAAGUGAUACCCAAGCUGGCUGAGCAGUUGUUUUGCAGAUAAAGGGAUACUGUGUGGAGAGUUUUAGAGGAGAUGAGCUCUUCUGAAGAUUUGUGGUCCAGAGCAAGCAGUGUUUUCAGGAAACACACAUCAUCAAAUAAGCAUGAUGUGUGGGGCCGGGCCCAGAAUAGGUGGGGUGAAGGAGAGGCAUUGAGACAUUCGGCUGGAGAUCUAAGUGCCAUUCAGAGCACACAGUGACUUAAGAACCAUGAUAAGUUCAGAUUUUUAGCGUGAAGACAGUGGGGAGCUAUUGAAAGACUUUAAGCGGGGCCAUUCUGUAAUAAGAUUUGAUCUUUAGCUCGCUCUCAGAGGAACAGCUGAAGAGGGAUAACAUGAAAGUCAAAAGAUAAACUGAAAGGUGACUGCAAUAAUCCUGGUGAAAGAUAAUCGACCAUGGAGCUAAAGUACUGGCAGUGAGGGUGAACAGGGGUGGACAUUAGAGCAAUAGAGUGGCAGAUGGUGUGGUGAGAUAAGAGAAGGUGAAAAAAACCUGACAUCCACUAGGUCAGGAAAUACAGGAAGCAGCAGUUUGAGUGGCAAGUGAUAACUCCACUUUAGGCCGGUUGAUCUGGCCAUGUUGAAGGGCUGUAGACCUUCAUGGGUAAUCUGCAGCUGGCGGUAGGACAUGAGUCUGGAGUUCAAGAGAGAGAUUUGGGAUGGAGACCUAGACUGGAUAUCAUCCGUCCCUAGGGGGUCUGUUUGAAACCAUGGAAGUUAUGAGACCACCCAGGAAGAGGGAGAUGCAGGUUGAGAAGAUGGUCAGUGACCUAAGACCGGGCAAAGGAAGAAAGGACAGUCUAAACUGGGAGACUCAGCCUAAACACCCCAAGUGAUUGGCGUGGCCAGGAAAUCCUGGCAGCGAAGGCUUUAAAGGAGGGAGUGGUUCCCAGUGCUGAGUGCUUCACUGAAGCCAGAGGAGGCAAGGAUAUGGACCUGACUAGAUGAAGGCCAUUGCCAACUUUGCUUCUACCUUUUUUGGGAAGGGAUCAGGGUGAAAAAGCCUGAUGGUUGCGGGCAAGAAGUAGAAGACCAGCAAGGGGAGAGAGCAGACGAGGACCUCUCCAGAUGAAGGCAUGGCAUGCUCUUGCAAGAGCUUUGUCUGAGGAGAGCAGAGAGAUAAGUUAGUAAUCAGAAGAAAGCAGGAGGUAGAGGUUAACAUAUGAAAAACUUGAGAAGAUUGAAAUGCUGCUGGUGAGGAAGAACGGAAGAAAGAAAGGGUUGAAAAUACCAUGGAUCUUCACUGUUAUUAGAUUCUGUAUUUGCAAAUUCUCCUACUUGUAAAUUCACACAUAACGCAAAAAGCAACACUUGAAGCGUCUUCAGGGUCAUUCCUGGACAUGUAUGUGCUCAGAGCAGCAAAUUAUAUGAGUCUCCCUUAUUUGCGUAUUCCCAGCUGAGGUUGAACAAGUGAUGCUCUGCCUUCUCACUUAAGCUUUCAUGCUGUAAAUAAGCAUCCUUUCUCAUGAUUUAUUGAGUACUGUGUUUUUCACAUUUUGUGCUUUUUAUUGAUUAUGUCACUGUUUAAAGUUUUCUCAAGUAUGGAGCUAAAAUAUUGUCUAGUGUUUCUAAGAAGGCCGAGGGCAGUAAUGAACCAGACUAGUAUCCAUGAGGAUGUGGGUUUAUAAUCCCUGGCCACACUCAGUGGGUUAACUCUCCAGUGUUGCCAUGAGCUGUGGUGUAGGUUGCAGUCAUGACUCAGAUCCUGAGUUGCUGUGGCUGUGGCGUGGGCCAGCAGCUGCAGCUCCGAUUCAACCCCUAGCCUGGGAACUUCCACAUGCCACAGGUGCA
Molecule: long non-coding RNA, 5151 nt
Filed under: Sus scrofa (pig)
Lineage: Eukaryota; Metazoa; Chordata; Mammalia; Artiodactyla; Suidae
Description: lncRNA (ENSSSCG00000049648.2)
Source: RNAcentral